AAACUUGAGAGUUUGAUCCUGGCUCAGANNGAACGCUGGCGGCGUGCUUAACACAUGCAAGUCGAACGAAUACGACCGAAGCUUGCUUCGGUACGGUUAGUGGCAAACGGGUGAGUAAUACAUAGGAAUCUGCCUCGCAGUAUGGGAUAACUGUUGGAAACGACAGCUAAUACCGUAUAUUGCCUACGGGUGAAAGAUUUAUCGCUACGAGAUGAGCCUAUGCAGGAUUAGCUUGUUGGUGGGGUAAAGGCCUACC
RNAcentral lists this ribosomal RNA (256 nucleotides) under Pseudomonadota bacterium. RNAcentral describes it as "Proteobacteria bacterium (activated sludge metagenome) partial 16S ribosomal RNA". It matches the Rfam family "Bacterial small subunit ribosomal RNA", at positions 1 to 269 of the family's 1533-position model. The record is from RNAcentral. Lineage: Bacteria; Pseudomonadati; Pseudomonadota.